CCUACGGGGGGCUGCAGUGGGGAAUAUUGGACAAUGGGGGCAACCCUGAUCCAGCCAUGCCGCGUGAGUGAAGAAGGCCCUCGGGUUGUAAAGCACUUUCAGUGAGGAAGAACGCCUGGUGGUUAAUACCCAUCAGGAAAGACAUCACUCACAGAAGAAGCACCGGCUAACUCCGUGCCAGCAGCCGCGGUAAUACGGAGGGUGCGAGCGUUAAUCGGAAUUACUGGGCGUAAAGCGCGCGUAGGUGGCUUGAUAAGCCGGUUGUGAAAGCCCCGGGCUCAACCUGGGAACGGCAUCCGGAACUGUCAAGCUAGAGUGCAGGAGAGGAAGGUAGAAUUCCCGGUGUAGCGGUGAAAUGCGUAGAGAUCGGGAGGAAUACCAGUGGCGAAGGCGGCCUUCUGGACUGACACUGACACUGAGGUGCGAAAGCGUGGGUAGCAAACAGGAUUAGAUACCCGGGUAGUC
This 465-nucleotide ribosomal RNA is filed under the name Vreelandella stevensii. RNAcentral's name for it is "partial 16S ribosomal RNA". It matches the Rfam family "Bacterial small subunit ribosomal RNA", at positions 338 to 795 of the family's 1533-position model. The record is from RNAcentral. Lineage: Bacteria; Pseudomonadati; Pseudomonadota; Gammaproteobacteria; Oceanospirillales; Halomonadaceae.